RNAcentral lists this ribosomal RNA (252 nucleotides) under uncultured bacterium. RNAcentral describes it as "partial 16S ribosomal RNA". It matches the Rfam family "Bacterial small subunit ribosomal RNA", at positions 524 to 776 of the family's 1533-position model. The record is from RNAcentral.
UACGUAGGGUGCAAGCGUUGUCCGGAAUUAUUGGGCGUAAGAGCUCGUAGGCGGUUUGUCGCGUCUGCUGUGAAAACUCGGGGCUUAACCCCGGGCCUGCAGUGGGUACGGGCAGACUAGAGUGCGGUAGGGGAGACUGGAAUUCCUGGUGUAGCGGUGAAAUGCGCAGAUAUCAGGAGGAACACCGGUGGCGAAGGCGGGUCUCUGGGCCGAUACUGACGCUGAGGAGCGAAAGCGUGGGGAGCGAACAGG